Molecule: ribosomal RNA, 538 nt
Filed under: uncultured bacterium
Lineage: Bacteria
Description: bacterial SSU rRNA
Rfam family: Bacterial small subunit ribosomal RNA
Source: RNAcentral
AAUAGAUACCCGGGUAGUCCACGCCGUAAACGAUGAGUGCUAGGUGUUGGGGGGACCCCCCUCAGUGCCGCAGGUAACCCAAUAAGCACUCCGCCUGGGGAGUACGGUCGCAAGACUGAAACUCAAAGGAAUUGACGGGGGCCCGCACAAGCGGUGGAGCAUGUGGUUUAAUUCGAAGCAACGCGAAGAACCUUACCAGGGCUUGACAUCCCGCUGACCGGUGUAGAGAUAUGCCUUUCCCCUUCGGGGGACAGCGGUGACAGGUGGUGCAUGGUUGUCGUCAGCUCGUGUCGUGAGAUGUUGGGUUCAGUCCCGCAACGAGCGCAACCCUUGUUUCUAGUUGCCAGCACUUCGGGUGGGCACUCUAGAGAGACAGCCGGUGAAAGCCGGAGGAAGGUGGGGAUGACGUCAAAUCAUCAUGCCCCUUAUGUCCUGGGCUACACACGUGCUACAAUGGCUGGUACAAAGGGCAGCGAACCCGCGAGGGGGAGCCAAUCCCAAAAAACCAGUCUCAGCUCGGAUUGCAGGCUGCAACUCG